Molecule: long non-coding RNA, 270 nt
Filed under: Panax ginseng (ginseng)
Lineage: Eukaryota; Viridiplantae; Streptophyta; Magnoliopsida; Apiales; Araliaceae
Description: long non-coding RNA (PGIN_LNC004610)
Source: RNAcentral
CCCAAAAUAAUGCUACUCACUUUGGCAUUAGGAGGUAUGCCCGAGUAAGAGAGGAGACUAGAAUUGGGAUUGACAGUCACCCCAUUCACCCAAGGAUCAAACCAAAAGUUAAAGGAUUGCCCAUUACCAACCAGGUAGUGCAGAUGUUAAAGGCCUAAGGAUCUGAGCUUUAGUACUUGUCUCCAAAUCCAAGAGCAGUCUUGUGGUAUAGGGAUCUGCCAAAAUGAUCGAUUUUUGAGUAAUGUUUUUUGAAUCCAAGUGGCCCAUAAG